This is a long non-coding RNA of Nannospalax galili (Upper Galilee mountains blind mole rat), 655 nucleotides long. RefSeq lists it as uncharacterized. Lineage: Eukaryota; Metazoa; Chordata; Mammalia; Rodentia; Spalacidae. The transcript has 3 exons. The record is from RefSeq and is a predicted model, not a curated record.
UAUGCCGGGAGCCUCGCGGCAGCCACCCCCUGCUUCCUGGAUGGCUACAGUGAGGGACAGUCGCCCCCUUAGAGCUCGGCCGCGACGCCGAGACUGGGCUGCAGACCCCUGCCUGCGCCCCUCGGCCUGCGGCUGGGUGGGACUCUGCAGCCCGACGUCCUGCGCACCCACCGAAGCGGGCACCUAGGAGUGCGCCCUUGUCUCCAUCCGAGUGUCCGCUGCUGGGUAGCUUCCUCGGGGCCUGGAGACCUCGGGCGCAACCCCCUCCUCGCAGUGGGACCCGGAGAGAGCCUCAGUAAGAGGUUACGAACAGAAGCAGUGACCCAAAGCAGCCGUGCUGGAAAGUCUGUACCCCGCAUGGAUGAUGCUUCCCAUGGCUGCACAGAUGGAUCCCAGUUUCUAUAAUCUUCAUCAACCCCUCCCUGAGACCCUAAGGCUUGUGCAGUUAGGGGAGAAUUGCAUACUAGUUGGAAGGAGUGGCUGGAUAUUCAGAUUCAGAAAAGCAUCUGAAAGAUGUUCAAGCACUUAAAGAAGUGAGACUGGAGGUCGGAGAGUGGCCCAGUGGUUAAGAGCACCUACUGCGCUUGCAGAGGACCCAGAUUUGGUUCCCAGCACCCAAGUCACAACCACUUGUAACUUGAGAGGAUCCAGUGCC